RNAcentral lists this ribosomal RNA (890 nucleotides) under uncultured bacterium. RNAcentral's name for it is "bacterial SSU rRNA". It matches the Rfam family "Bacterial small subunit ribosomal RNA", at positions 8 to 892 of the family's 1533-position model. The record is from RNAcentral.
AUAGUUUGAUCCUGGCUCCGAACGAACGUUACCGGCGCCCUAAGACAUGCAAGUCGAGCGUGAAAGGGCUUCGGCCCCUGUAAAGCGGCGCACGGGUGAGUAACACGUAGGUCAUCAUUCCUCGAGGGGUGGACAACCCUCCGAAAGGAGGACUCAUACAGCAUGACGACAGAAAUGUCCACAGCGUGCCUCUUCAUGAAAGCUCGCGCUAGAGGAUGAGCCUGCGGCCCAUCAGGUAGUUGGUGGGGUAAUGGCCCACCAAGCCAGAGACGGGUAGCUGGUCUGAGAGGAUGAACAGCCACACUGGAACUGAGACACGGUCCAGACUCCUACGGGAGGCAGCAGUCGGGAAUCUUCCGCAAUGGGCGAAAGCCUGACGGAGCGACGCCGCGUGAGCGAUGAAGGCCUUCGGGUUGUAAAGCUCUGUGGGGAGGAAAGAAUAAGUUCAGGACAAUACCCUGAAUGAUGACGGUACCUCCUUAGCAAGCACCGGCUAACUCUGUGCCAGCAGCCGCGGUAAGACAGAGGGUGCAAACGUUGUUCGGAUUUACUGGGCGUAAAGCGCGUGUAGGCGGCUUCGCAAGUUGGAUGUGAAAGCCCACGGCUCAACCGUGGAAGCGCAUCCAAAACUGCGUCGCUGGAGUCUCGGAGAGGAAGGUGGAAUGCUUGGUGUAGAGGUGAAAUUCGUAGAUAUCAAGCAGAACACCUGCGGCGAAGGCGGCCUUCUGGACGAUGACUGACGCUGAGACGCGAAAGCGUGGGGAGCAAACAGGAUUAGAUACCCUGGUAGUCCACGCCGUAAACGAUGAGUGCUAGGUGUCACGGGCUUUGACCCUCGUGGUGCCGUAGCUAACGCAAUAAGCACUCCGCCUGGGGAGUACGGUCGCAAG